AUUGAACGCUGGCGGCAUGCCUUACACAUGCAAGUCGAACGGUAACGGGCCUUCGGGUGCCGACGAGUGGCGAACGGGUGAGUAAUGCAUCGGAACGUACCUUUCAGUGGGGGAUAACGUAGCGAAAGUUACGCUAAUACCGCAUAUUCUGUGAGCAGGAAAGCAGGGGAUCGCAAGACCUUGCGCUGAUUGAGCGGCCGAUGUCAGAUUAGCUAGUUGGUGAGGUAAAGGCUCACCAAGGCGACGAUCCGUAGCGGGUCUGAGAGGAUGAUCCGCCACACGGGGAAUGAGACACGGCCCAGACUCCUACGGGAGGCAGCAGUGGGGAAUUUUGGACAAUGGGGGCAACCCUGAUCCAGCCAUGCCGCGUGAGUGAAGAAGGCCUUCGGGUUGUAAAGCUCUUUCGGCCGGGAAGAAAUCGCACAGGCUAAUACCUUGUGUGGAUGACGGUACCGGAAUAAGAAGCACCGGCUAUCUACGUGCCAGCAGCCGCCGUAA
RNAcentral lists this ribosomal RNA (498 nucleotides) under uncultured bacterium. Its description in RNAcentral is "partial 16S ribosomal RNA". It matches the Rfam family "Bacterial small subunit ribosomal RNA", at positions 30 to 523 of the family's 1533-position model. The record is from RNAcentral.